Numida meleagris (helmeted guineafowl) is the source of this 481-nucleotide long non-coding RNA. RefSeq lists it as uncharacterized. Lineage: Eukaryota; Metazoa; Chordata; Aves; Galliformes; Numididae. The transcript is spliced from 3 exons. The record is from RefSeq and is a predicted model, not a curated record.
CAGGAUCCCCAUGAAGUGCCAGCAGUUCAGGACGGAGUUACGACACAAAUCAAGGUGUUGGUUGAAGCUCUGCUCCAGGUGCCACUGCCGAGAAACUACUUUGAAAGGAAGCAGAGGUUGAAGAGGUUGCUGAGCUUUUGAUGCAUCAUUCUAAUCACCCAGCGUUUCUAAGAUCUCCAGAUCAGCGGCAGUUCAGCUGAAGAGCAUAAAACCAUGAUGACUGCACAGGUAAGCAACCCGCAUUGUCAGAACUGACCAUCUGCACUAUCCUUGCCCUGUUUAACCAGUUAUUAAUCCACAAGGGAUGACUAUUCCUCCUAUUUCACUGACGCUGUAUUUUUUGAAAAGUUUUUCAUGAGCCAUCCUGAUAGAGGCUACCUGGAAAUCCCCUGGCAGUACGCUGUUGUCCUUUCCGUUCCUCUCACCUGUAUAAGUAGUAAUAACAAAUUACAAGGCCAUACGAGGUGGCUCAGUACAGGCU